RNAcentral lists this long non-coding RNA (2014 nucleotides) under Parus major (Great Tit). Its description in RNAcentral is "lncRNA (ENSPMJG00000010995.1)". Lineage: Eukaryota; Metazoa; Chordata; Aves; Passeriformes; Paridae. The record is from RNAcentral.
AUGAAAAGUUGAUGGAGAAUCCUGUGAUUCAUGGCAGUAAGGAUACAUUGGAGAAGAUAACAAGCAAGAAGGAAUGAGGCUCCUUCAUGUCCUGAAUCCUUCUCAGGAAGGGACCAUGUAAUAAUGUACAGAACAAGUUAAUUGAGGAAGCUAUGGAAGUACGGUGAUCAGAAAAUGUGCAAUGGUCUCUGAUGUACAGAGAUACUGUCUACAAGCACUAAUGUCUCAGCUGGUUUUCCUCCAUCAUCUUGUCUGCUAUUUAUUUUUGAUCCUAAUGGUUUAAUCAGUGCUACGUGGACUGAAUACUUCAUAUACCUGGAGUUCACGGAGGGCUACAGCAGCAGGUUGCAAGAGGCUCAUGAGUAAUUGGACAAAGCAGAGUCUUGCCAUACCAACAGGCAUGGAAAAGCCGGGAAAGAUUUCUGUAUAGAGAGAUGGAGGGACCACAGCUGCUUGAUUCGGAAAGCAAAUAAAAAAGGUAAAUGUAUGAAUAGAGUCAAUAUGGAGUGGAAGAUGCACAAAAUAAUAAAAAGAAAAUCAAGGUCUCCUACUUAUUGCUGAACAUAAUGCCAAAACAAGGCAAUUUGAAAUGGAAGUGGAAAGCAGCAUAUCCUGAGUGGUAUAUUAUUAAUUUAUGGUAUUGAUUGGCACAUCAAAAUGAAGGAUUUAGUAAAAAUAAAAGCAAGAAGAAGUCUGUGUAUGGAUAAUAAUAAGAUCUUAACCUGUUAGACAGCACUGGAUGACACAAGCCAAGGAAACAAAAGGCAGGGCCUUAAUUAAUUGGCAGUAGACUUCUUGUCCCUUCAUUUUGUCAGUAAUCUGAACAGGAGUUUCAGAUGGCCAGAUCAUUUCUCUGGUCAUGCGUUGCAAUGCUGUACAGACAAGGUUACACAUGAUUUUGCUAAAAUGCUCAGAAAGGCUUCUGUGUACCCACAUUUCCAGUUAAAAUACAUUUAGUGUGACUUCAAUUGCAUGUGCCAUGGACAGCUUGGUGUCAGCCUCAGCUGCUUUUCACAGCCUAAGAAGUAUUAAGGAAUGUGAAUUUGACAAGAAACAACUGAAGAGGAGUACACUCAUUCCUAAGGGCUUCAGCAGCAGUGCAGAUGGAGACUGCCAUGCCCUCGCUUUUUACCGAGUGGUUCAUUCACAGUACACCUGGGUUUGUAACCCAGCAAGCCCCAGAAAUUGUGUAAAUGCAUCUUCUGUGCCUGGCCUGAGUAUCUGGUGGGUUCCUUACUGUCCAGCAAACACCUACAGACUUGGCUGCUGUUUGGGAAAAGGGAAAGGAUCAAGGCAAUUCCUGGGACACUGCAGGGACUAAGCCCCAGAGAUGACAGUGGAUCCCUGCUCCCAAGCCUGUGGUUCAGAGAUUCAGUCCUCAAGUGAAGAAGUCCAAGAGGGCAGCUCUAAAGUGUUGGUAAGCAAAAAACAUGGACCAGUGAAUAAGAAGGCAAUAUCUGCUUUAGAAAUACAUAAAGACAGUUUUAUCUCUAUAAUGUAUUCAUCAUGAAGCAUUAAAAGUACUUUGGUCCCAUGUCUUGAGGAAGGUUAAAGUGUUAUGGUUACUGUCUGUCCUGCUUAGUGUUACUGCACACUCAGUAUAUCUUUUGGGCUUGUAAUCGUGGGAUGUUGCAGGGUAUUUCUUUAUAUUUAAAUAAUCUAAUUUUCAGAGUGUCAAUACGGCUGAAAUGGAAUCAAUGGUACCAAACUCCCUUUUACUAGCUAAGGAGCUGGUCCUGUGUGCUUAAAAAUAGCCUAAUGAGAGAAGGACCAGUCUACCUACUGAGAGGUUUCGUGACCUACUUCUGCAGCUCUCCUGCUCUUUCGGGAAAGCUCUGCUGGGCUUAUGGUUCUUCAUCUCCUUGGUCUCCCCCAAAUCACUCACAAAAGCAAAUUCCACCAGAGAGAGGGGGGGGAGGAGAGAGAGAGAGACAGCUGCUUCUGCAUAUAUUAAUAAUACACAGCUCUAUAAAUGAUUAAUAAAAGAUACCACUGACUUUGAAUUAUAGUGUAG